This 76-nucleotide transfer RNA is filed under the name Chloroflexota bacterium. RNAcentral's name for it is "tRNA-Arg". It matches the Rfam family "tRNA". From Rfam's summary of the family: Transfer RNA (tRNA) molecules are approximately 80 nucleotides in length. Their secondary structure includes four short double-helical elements and three loops (D, anti-codon, and T loops). Lineage: Bacteria; Bacillati; Chloroflexota. RNAcentral also lists the same sequence under 2 other names. The record is from RNAcentral.
GCCCCUGUAGCUCAGGCGGAUAGAGCAAUGGUUUCCUAAACCAUGCGGCCCGGUUCGAGUCCGGGCAGGGGUACCA